AUUGUUUUUUAGAAGCUUGUAAAAAAUAUUUAAUACAAAAAGAGUUAAUAGAAUCUGAAGAAGAACAGAAUGAUAUAACUCAAAUAGAAUUAUCAGAAAUAAAAAUAUUAAGAAAAAGGAUAGAAAACUUAAAAGAUAUGCAAAGAUAUAUUUUACAGAAAUUAGAAUUUUUUGAAAUAAGUAAAAAAGGAAAAAACCUAGAAAUAAUUCCUGAACAAUCAGAAUUAGUUCAAGUUUUUUGUAAUUCAGAAAAAUUAAAAAGUAUUAAAGUAAAAUGUUAUGUUAGAAUAGAAAAUUAUGAAAUAGUUUGUUUAGGUUUAAUAGACUCAGGAUGUAGUCAUUGUGUAAUUAAUAAAAG
This 358-nucleotide long non-coding RNA is filed under the name Olea europaea subsp. europaea. The record is from RNAcentral. Lineage: Eukaryota; Viridiplantae; Streptophyta; Magnoliopsida; Lamiales; Oleaceae.